RNAcentral lists this ribosomal RNA (202 nucleotides) under uncultured bacterium. Its description in RNAcentral is "partial 16S ribosomal RNA". It matches the Rfam family "Bacterial small subunit ribosomal RNA", at positions 524 to 725 of the family's 1533-position model. The record is from RNAcentral.
UACGUAGGGUGCAAGCGUUAUCCGGAAUUAUUGGGCGUAAAGCGCGCGUAGGCGGUUUUUUAAGUCUGAUGUGAAAUCCCACGGCUUAACCGUGGAGGUGCAUUGGAAACUGGAAAACUUGAGUGCAGAAGAGGGGAGUAGAAUUCCAUGUGUAGCGGUGAAAUGCGCAGAGAUAUGGAGGAACACCAGUGGCGAAGGCGAC